RNAcentral lists this non-coding RNA (535 nucleotides) under Ricinus communis (castor bean). RNAcentral's name for it is "Bacterial large subunit ribosomal RNA". It matches the Rfam family "Bacterial large subunit ribosomal RNA", at positions 1312 to 1834 of the family's 2925-position model. The record is from Rfam by way of RNAcentral. Lineage: Eukaryota; Viridiplantae; Streptophyta; Magnoliopsida; Malpighiales; Euphorbiaceae.
AAGACCUUUGUGAGUAUCCAAUGCCUCGAAAAUCUAAGGGUUCCUCCGCAAGGUUCGUCCACGAAAGGUGAGUCAAGGCCUAAGAUCAGGCCGAAAGACGUUGUCGAUAGACAAUAGGUGAAUAUUCAUGUACUACCCCUUAUUGGUCCAGAGGGAUAAAGGAGGCUAGAUUAGCUGAAAGAUAGUUAUCGAUUCAAGGACCCAUGGUGUCUCUAGUUUUUCAAGGUAAGAAGGGGUAGAGAAAAUGCCUCGAGCCAAUGUUCGAGUACUAGGUGCUACCACGCUGACGUAACCCGUUCCAUACUCCUAGAAAAAGCUCGAACGACCUUCAACAAAGGAUACCUGUACCCGAAACCGAUAUAGGUAGGUGGGUAGGUAGAGAAUACUUAGGAGUGCGAGGCAACUCUUUCUAAGAAACUCGACAAAAUAGCCCUGUAACUUUGAAAGAAGGGGUGCCUCCUCACAAAGGAAGUCGCAGCGCAUGAUAAAUAUGAUGUUAGGUUUUAGACAUAAAAAUAUAUAGGCUUUAUUCUUG